AACGAACGCUGGCGGCAUGCCUAACACAUGCAAGUCGAACGAGACCUUCGGGUCUAGUGGCGCACGGGUGCGUAACGCGUGGGAACCUGCCCUUAGGUUCGGAAUAACUCCCCGAAAGGGGUGCUAAUACCGGAUAAUGUCUUCGGACCAAAGAUUUAUCGCCUUUGGAUGGGCCCGCGUUGGAUUAGCUAGUUGGUAGGGUAAAAGCCUACCAAGGCGAGGAUCCAUAGCUGGUCUGAGAGGAGGAUCAGCCACACUGGGACUGAGACACGGCCCAGACUCGUACGGGAGGCAGGAGUGGGGAAUAAAGGGGAAGGGGCGAAAGCCUGAUCCAGCAAGGCCGCGUGAGUGAUGAAGGCCUUAGGGUUGUAAAGCGCUCUUACCCGGGAUGAGAAUGACAGUACCGGGAGAAGAAGCUCCGGCUAACUACGUG
RNAcentral lists this ribosomal RNA (433 nucleotides) under uncultured bacterium. RNAcentral's name for it is "partial 16S ribosomal RNA". It matches the Rfam family "Bacterial small subunit ribosomal RNA", at positions 29 to 507 of the family's 1533-position model. The record is from RNAcentral.